GACAGAGGUGCCAAGCGUUAAGCGGAAUCACUGGGCUUAAAGCGUGUGUAGGUGGAUUUGUAAGUACCUUGUGAAAUCCCACGGCUCAACCGUGGAACUGCUCGGUAUACUGCGAAUCUUGAGCCACUUAGGGGCUACCGGAACAAAUGGUGGAGCGGUGAAAUGCGUAGAUAUCAGUUGGAACGCCAAUGGUGAAAACAGGUAGCUGGGAGUGUGCUGACACUGAGACACGAAAGCCAGGGGAGCGAACGGG
This 253-nucleotide ribosomal RNA is filed under the name uncultured bacterium. RNAcentral describes it as "partial 16S ribosomal RNA". It matches the Rfam family "Bacterial small subunit ribosomal RNA", at positions 524 to 776 of the family's 1533-position model. The record is from RNAcentral.